This 639-nucleotide small RNA is filed under the name Pongo abelii (Sumatran orangutan). Its description in RNAcentral is "retained intron". The record is from RNAcentral. Lineage: Eukaryota; Metazoa; Chordata; Mammalia; Primates; Hominidae.
CUCGUGAUGCUGAUGAGCGAGAGAAAUGGAUCCAUGCCUUAGAAGAAACAAUUCUUCGACAUACUCUCCAGCUUCAAGGUUUGGAUUCAGGAUUUGUUCCUAGUGUCCAAGAUUUUGAUAAGAAGCUUACAGAAGCUGAUGCUUACCUACAAAUCUUGAUUGAACAAUUAAAGCUUUUUGAUGACAAGCUUCAAAACUGCAAAGAAGAUGAACAGAGAAAGAAAAUUGAGACUCUCAAAGAGACAACAAAUAGCAUGGUAGAAUCAAUUAAACACUGCAUUGUGUUGCUGCAGAUUGCCAAAGACCAGAGUAAUGCGGAGAAGCACGCAGAUGGAAUGAUAGUAAGUUUAAUCUAAUCUUUUGUUUCCCUUUACUUCUGCAGAGCAUUAUAACCAGUCAUAUCAGGAGAAGCCUGAAUUACUACUCAUUUUUCAAUGCCAACUACUCACUGCUUUUUGUUGUUGACUCUUGCAGUUUCCUUUAAGCUCCCUUCUUUCAGCAAUCAUUUGCAGGGGAAAUGGCAAUCUUAAAAUUUUUCUAAGUGUGGGUUCAGAUUGAAUCACUUUGCAUGUAUUAACUUGAAGGGUUAAUCAUGGUAUGAAUACUCAGCUUUUACAAUUAAAUAAUGCAUAACUCAGU